UACGAACUGUGCGAACGUUAUUCGGAAUCACUGGGCUUAAAGGGUGCGUAGGCGGUUUGUUAAGUCAGGUGUGAAAUCCCCCGGCUCAACCGGGGAACAGCGCUUGAAACUAGCAGACUGGAGUGAGGCAGGGGUGUGCGGAACUUCCAGUGGAGCGGUGAAAUGUGUAGAUAUUGGAAGGAACGCCGGCGGCGAAAGCGGCACACUGGGCCUUGUCUGACGCUGAGGCACGAAAGCUAGGGGAGUGAACGGG
This 253-nucleotide ribosomal RNA is filed under the name uncultured bacterium. Its description in RNAcentral is "partial 16S ribosomal RNA". It matches the Rfam family "Bacterial small subunit ribosomal RNA", at positions 524 to 776 of the family's 1533-position model. RNAcentral also lists the same sequence under 1 other name. The record is from RNAcentral.